UACAGAGGUCCCAAGCGUUGUUCGGAUUCACUGGGCGUAAAGGGUGCGUAGGUGGCCAGGUAAGUUCGGUGUGAAAGCUCGGAGCUCAACUCCGAAAUGUCAUUGAAUACUAUCUGGCUUUAUUGAGGGUCGGAGGGGAGACUGGAAUUCCCGGUGUAGCAGUGAAAUGCGUAGAUAUCGAGAGGAACACCAGUGGCGAAGGCGAGUCUCUGGACGACACCUGACACUGAGGCACGAAAGCUAGGGGAGCAAACAGG
This 257-nucleotide ribosomal RNA is filed under the name uncultured bacterium. RNAcentral describes it as "partial 16S ribosomal RNA". It matches the Rfam family "Bacterial small subunit ribosomal RNA", at positions 524 to 776 of the family's 1533-position model. The record is from RNAcentral.